AAAUACGUCACGGCGGGAGCGCUUCCCAGAUCACCGAGCUCGAGACCGGAGCCAGUUCCGUUAAAACCGUUGGGAAUCAGCCCCGGCGCGCGGCCAUUAAAGUUUGAGAAGGAUAAGGGCAGCUCGGAGGUGUCAGUGUUGCAGUUGAACAGGGGAAACUAUGGAGCCAUGAGGGAGGAGCUGGCCAAAGUUAACUGGACGGAUAGCCUAGCAGAAAAGACCGUGGAACAGCAAUGGCAGUUUGAGAAGGAGAAGGGCAGCUCGGAGGUGUCAGUGUUGCAGUUGAACAGGGGAAACUAUGGAGCCAUGAGGGAGGAACUGGCCAAAGUUGACUGGACGGAUAGCCGAGCAGAAAAGACAGUGGAACAGCAAUGACAGGAAUGGGAUGGCAGAGAGGACGAAUCUGUUCCUGAAUCGCUGAGUGUGUGCCUUCAGGCUUCUGUACCUCCUCCCUGAUGGUGACAGUGAGUAAAGGGCAUGCCCUAGGUGCUGGACGUGCUUAAUAAUGGAUGCUGCCUUUCUGAGACACCGCUCCCUGAAGAUUUACAACUUCCUGCAGCUUCUCUCGGUCCUGUGCAGUAGCCCCUCCAUACCAGACAGUGACAGACCGAUGCAGACCACAAAUGAAGUGCCUCCUGAUCCUCAGCCAUUUCCAAUGCUGGCAAUGUUCACAGCUCAGCUACAGAAAACAGAGUUCGGAAAACUCCCCUCAUCUACUUUGCACAGCAAGGGGGGAGUUGAGAGCUGCCCUGACAAAACCUGAAAUGUUGUAUUAUCGCACAAUCUUUGAGAUCCAGGAAAUGCUCUUCUCACCUGCCUCUGAAUUUUGUAAAUGAAAGUUGAAGAUGUCUUUCACUUCUAAACGGCCCUGUUGUGCAACAAACCCUGAACCUAGAUAAUGUUGCAGGGGUGGAACUGGACUCUCUGACGGUGGUGUCUGAAAAGAGGAUGCGGUCCAAGUUGCAUGCCAUCUUGGAAAAUGCUCCCCUCCACUCCAUAAUGUACUGGUUAGGCACAGGAGUACAUUCGGCCAGAGAUUCAUUCCACCGAGAUGCAACACAGAGCAUCAUAGGAAGUCAUUCCUGCCUGUGGCCAUCAAACCUUACAACUCCUCCCUCGGAGUGUCAGACACCCUGAGCCAAUAGGCGGGUCCUGGACUUAUUUCCACUUGGCAUGAUUAAUUUAUUAUUAUUUAAUUAUUUAUGGUUUUAUAUUGCUAUAUUUCUACACUAUCCGUGGUUGUUACGGCUGUAAUGAAAUCCAAUUUCCCUCGGGAUCAAUAAAGUCUGUCUGUCUGUCUGUAGACUUUUCCAUAACAAACAACACCGCUGUCACAUUCCUGUUGGUGUUUCACUCUCGACCUGCUGAUUCAGGGUCUCCGGCUCCUUUCACUCAGGUGAAGCUUUGCCUGGUGAGUGGAGUCAUUCGACCAUUUCUGGUGUCAGGUCCCUGCGCUGGAACUGUGGGACCGAUCGAUUACACAAAGACACUUUACCAGUGGGAUCAGUGACACUGCUCGAUGAAACUUUUCUCUGCCCUGUUAGCGCCUGUGUAAGCUUCUUCAUCUGAACUAUUGUGCACCAACAGGGCAGAAGUUUAGUUAUAAAGAUCCAGGU
Long non-coding RNA from Hypanus sabinus (Atlantic stingray), 1616 nucleotides. RefSeq lists it as uncharacterized. The transcript is spliced from 4 exons. The record is from RefSeq and is a predicted model, not a curated record. Lineage: Eukaryota; Metazoa; Chordata; Chondrichthyes; Myliobatiformes; Dasyatidae.